This 662-nucleotide ribosomal RNA is filed under the name uncultured bacterium. Its description in RNAcentral is "bacterial SSU rRNA". It matches the Rfam family "Bacterial small subunit ribosomal RNA", at positions 94 to 788 of the family's 1533-position model. The record is from RNAcentral.
AGUGGCGGACGGGUGAGUAACGCGUGAGAAUCUACCUUCAGGACGGGGACAACAGCUGGAAACGGCUGCUAAUACCCGAUAUGCCGAAAGGUGAAAAGUUAUUUCGCCUGGAGAGGAGCUCGCGUCCGAUUAGCUAGUUGGUGGGGUAAAAGCUUACCAAGGCAACGAUCGGUAGCUGGUCUGAGAGGAUGAGCAGCCACACUGGAACUGAGACACGGUCCAGACUCCUACGGGAGGCAGCAGUGGGGAAUUUUCCGCAAUGGGCGAAAGCCUGACGGAGCAACGCCGCGUGGGGGAAGAAGGUUUUUGGAUUGUAAACCCCUUUUCUCAAGGAAGAACAAAAUGACGGUACUUGAGGAAUCAGCCUCGGCUAACUCCGUGCCAGCAGCCGCGGUAAUACGGAGGAGGCAAGCGUUAUCCGGAAUUAUUGGGCGUAAAGCGUUCGUAGGCGGCUGUUCAAGUCUGCUGUCAAAGACCGAGGCUCAACCUCGGGUCGGCAGUGGAAACUGGAUAGCUAGAGGUCGGUAGGGGCAGAGGGAAUUCCCAGUGUAGCGGUGAAAUGCGUAGAUAUUGGGAAGAACACCGGUGGCGAAAGCGCUCUGCUGGGCCGAACCUGACGCUGAGGGACGGAAGCUAGGGGAGCGAAUGGGAUUAGAUACCCC